RNAcentral lists this ribosomal RNA (465 nucleotides) under uncultured bacterium. RNAcentral's name for it is "partial 16S ribosomal RNA". It matches the Rfam family "Bacterial small subunit ribosomal RNA", at positions 28 to 507 of the family's 1533-position model. The record is from RNAcentral.
GACGAACGCUGGCGGCGUGCUUAACACAUGCAAGUCGAACGGAAAGGCCCUGCUUGCUGGGUACUCGAGUGGCGAACGGGUGGGUAACACGUGGGUGAUCUGCCCUCCACUUCGGGAUAAGCCUGGAAAACUGGGUCUAUUACCGGAUAGGAGCCAUUUUUAGUGGGAUGGUUGGAAAGUUUUUUGGGUGUAGGAUGAGCUCGCGGCCUAUCAGCUUGUUGGUGGGGUAAUGGCCUACCAAGGCGGCAACGGGUAGCCGGCCUGAGAGGGUGGACGGCCACAUUGGGACUGAGAUAAGGCCCAGACUCCGACGGGAGGCAGCAGUGGGGAAUAUUGCACAAUGGGCGCAAGCCUGAUGCAGCGAGGCCGCGGGGGGGAUGACGGCCUUCGGGUUGUAAACUCCUUUCGCUAGGGACGAAGCUUUUUGUGACGGUACCUAGAGAAGAAGCACCGGCUAACUACGUG